RNAcentral lists this ribosomal RNA (423 nucleotides) under uncultured bacterium. RNAcentral's name for it is "bacterial SSU rRNA". It matches the Rfam family "Bacterial small subunit ribosomal RNA", at positions 207 to 622 of the family's 1533-position model. The record is from RNAcentral.
AAGACCUUGCGCUUUUGGAGCGGCCGAUGCCUGAUUAGCUAGUUGGUGGGGUAAUGGCCUACCAAAGCUUCGAUCAGUAGCUGGUCUGAGAGGACGGCCAGCCACACUGGGACUGAGACACGGCCCAGACUCCUACGGGAGGCAGCAGUGGGGAAUUUUGGACAAUGGGCGCAAGCCUGAUCCAGCCAUGCCGCGUGAGUGAAGAAGGCCUUCGGGUUGUAAAGCUCUUUCAGCCGGGAAGAAAAGGUUGCGAUUAAUAAUCGCAAUUUAUGACGGUACCGGAAGAAGAAGCACCGGCUAACUACGUGCCAGCAGCCGCGGUAAUACGUAGGGUGCGAGCGUUAAUCGGAAUUACUGGGCGUAAAGGGUGCGCAGGCGGUUUUGUAAGUCAGAUGUGAAAUCCCCGGGCUUAACCUGGAAACU